This 471-nucleotide ribosomal RNA is filed under the name uncultured soil bacterium. Its description in RNAcentral is "bacterial SSU rRNA". It matches the Rfam family "Bacterial small subunit ribosomal RNA", at positions 26 to 479 of the family's 1533-position model. The record is from RNAcentral.
AGAGUGAACGCUGGCGGUAGGCCUAACACAUGCAAGUCGAACGGCAGCACAGUAGGAGCUUGCUCUUACGGGUGGCGAGUGGCGGACGGGUGAGGAAUACAUCGGAAUCUACCUUUUGGUGGGGGAUAACGUAGGGAAACUUACGCUAAUACCGCAUACGCCCUUCGGGGGAAAGCCGGGGACCAGCAAUGGCCUGGCGCUGAUAGAUGAGCCGAUGUCGGAUUAGCUAGUUGGUGAGGUAAUGGCUCACCAAGGCGACGAUCCGUAGCUGGUCUGAGAGGAUGAUCAGCCACACUGGAACUGAGACACGGUCCAGACUCCGUACGGGAGGCAGCAGUGGGGAAUAUGGACAAUGGGCGCAAGCCUGAUCCAGCCAUACCGCGUGGUAGAAGAAGGUCUUACGGGUUGUAAACGCCCUUUUAGUAGGAAAGAAAGCUAAGUUCGGUUAAUACCCGGUGUUCGUGACGUACC